RNAcentral lists this long non-coding RNA (4796 nucleotides) under Sus scrofa (pig). Its description in RNAcentral is "lncRNA (ENSSSCG00000054745.1)". The record is from RNAcentral. Lineage: Eukaryota; Metazoa; Chordata; Mammalia; Artiodactyla; Suidae.
UUUUUUUUUCCUGCUGGGGAUAACCUUUAUCUGAAUCUCAUUAUUUAUUUCUCUCCAUAAAUAUCAAACAGCCAAGAGUAUUAAUUUGAUCACCCAAUGUGCAUUUCAUCAUAUUUAUUUAUUUGUAGUACUGUCUACAAAAUAACUUUAUAGAAAACAUAAAUAUGCGGUAGCUUAACAUUUGGUUGUGACCAUUAGAAGAACCAGUAGCAGUAGUUUCAUUCUCACGUGUUGUCCAGGGGUUAAGAGCAGAAGGAGAAAGGGGAAUCUGGCAGCCAAUUGGUACAUUUAGGAAAUGGCUAAUGGCUGCCCCAAUGUCUUUUGAGGAGACCCUGGGAAUUACAACAGAAUGCUAAUAUAUGACAUCUGUAUGAAGCUAUAUCAUGGUGUCAAUGUGCAAAAAUUGCAGGGAUCCAUUUAAGGUACCAUUUUCAAAUACAAUCUCUAGAAUUCCCAUUUGUCUUCAGAUUGCUCAUAACAAUGGCUUUCUAAAAACAGUUGCUGAUUUACGUACUUAAAAUUAUACUCUAACAGCCUGACUCACCAAAUAUUGAGAAUUGAAAAUAACAUUCUUUCAAGGUAAAGCACGAUUUCCUUCACUUAGAGGCAAAGAAAGAGACUGAUAAAUUGUCCUGAUCACUCGUUGAUAAGUGGCCGUGCCAAGGCCUGGGCCUCAGUCUCUGACAUGAGAUCUUUUUCCAGUCAGACCUACUAAGUCUGUCAGGUAACCUAGAUGAGUAGAGUUCUUGAGUAUAAAACCAGAGAGAGCCACUGGAGUACAAGUUCCUGUGUGAAGGGGCAGAAGACAACAAGCUCCAGCCUACGGUCCAAGGGGAACAUUGGCAGUAUUGCCAGACCUUGUGAUCUUUCAAUAAAGCUAGAAAUCUUAACUUUUCAAUGGAAUCUCUAUAUUUUGUAGGUUGGCAAUUAAUUCAGAGUGUUUGUUCAUUGAACAAUACUUGUCUGCUGUCAGAUCUGACCAUAGGCCACCAGUUUUCUGGCGUUGGGUGUCAAAUCGUGGAGCAACAGAUCUAGACUCUCCUAGAGAAAGACAGUGUCUAGGAUUGAAAGGACCAAGAGUCCUGUCCCAGUGUUCCUGAAAUGCAUAAACUCUGGAGUUUAAUGUAGUCAUAAGGAGAUUGAGUCCAAAUCCUGGCUCAUUACCAGCCAGGUGAUCUAGGGCAAGCUACUCUCUGUACUAUAAUUUCCUCACUUUAAAAAUGAGUAUAGGCGUUCCUGCUGUGGUGCAGCAGGCUAAGGAUCUGGCAUUGUCUCGGGCAGCAUGGGUUCAGUCCCCAGCACAGUGUAGUGGGUUUAGGAUCCAGUGUUGCUGCAGCUGUGGUAUAAGUCACAGCUGCAGCUCAGAUUAGAUCCCUGGCCUAGGAACUUCCUUAUGCCAUGGGUUUGGCCAAAAAAGAAAAUAAAAAUUAAUAAAUAAAAAUGAGUAUAAUACCUGACCUACCUCAGAGAGUUGUGAGGAUGAGUUAAUAUAUUAGAGCAGGAUCUGGUACAGGGUGAGUCUAUGUAGCUGGCAUUACAGUUGGCUUUCCCUAUCAACAGAUGCAGAACCCAUAGAUCAGGAUGACUGACUAAGGGACUUGAAAAUCUACAGAUUUGGUAUAUCCUCUGGGGGUCCUGGAAUCCCCUGUGGAUAUCAAGUGACAACCACAUUUUUUUUUUUUUUUUUUGCUUUUUAGGGCCGCACCAGCGGCACAUGGAGGUUCCCUGGCUAGGGGUCUAAUUGGAGAUACAGCUGCCGGCCUGUGCCACAGCCACAGCAAUGCAGGAUCUGAGCUGUGUCUGCAACCUACACUGCAGCUCAUGGAAAUGCCAGAUCCUUAACCCACUGAUCGAGGACAGGGAUCAAACCGGCGGCAACCUCAUGGUUCCUAGUCAGAUUCUUUUCCGUUGAGCCACAAUGGGAACUCCGACCCAUAUUUUUGUUUAAUUUCGAGGAAAAGGAAGGAGCCCUGCAAAUGACUGAGUGGAUUUCCAAUCAUCCUGGUUAGGUGGAGGUGCUGAGUCAAAUUUAAUUUGAUGUAAAAAACAAAAGAAAGAAAUGUGAUUCGUUGUAUCUGAGUGAGAAAGAGCAAAUUCAUACGGUUACUUUAAUGCUGUUGACAUAUUUCAUCUCCAUCAUGAUAUUUCUCUUCACAUCCUGUGUCAGACGUACAAUUUUCAAUCCUUCCUUUAAUGCCUUAGUACCAGAUUCCUCAAAGUGACUCAUAAAAAGGAUAGACCUUGUCUCAUUUCAAACACGGUUAUGCUUCAAACUCCUCUUUGAGAAAUGUUCGGUGACAAGUCUCUAUUGAAAGCAAAGGGAAUUGAAGAAAGGGUAGGAAAAAUUGCGUAGACUAAAACCACCUUUCGGCUAAGAAAAGUUUUUUUAUCUUUUAAAAUGGUCCAUCUCUCUUAGUAUAUUGGGCAUAUGACCCUUCUUCUGUCUUUCACAUAUAUCCAAAAAAAUUACAGUGUUUUUGCACAUUUAUACACAUGAUACAUAUCAUAAACUAUGCUUUUGAUGUUAUCUCUUUAGUCAGACUUAACUUGAUUUUAAAGAAAUUACACCAUGUAGAGAAUCCGCAGCCUUAAUCUUUCAAAACACUUUUGGUCUUAAAAAUAAAAAAAAAAAAAACGAAAAACUUUUCUUUUGGGAGUGACAUAACACUUUUUUUUUCUAUACAUUUAUCGCUCAAAAGGGUACACGGUCUUCCCUCUGUCUUAAGCUACUACCCACAAGAAAAUGAACCCCAAACGCAUUCUUUGUCUAAUUUAAAUGUCACAUUUGCAACACAGCAUUAUAUGUGUAUAAAUGCACAGAUAACAUUUUUAAUAUUAAACAUUCCUAAUUACUGCACUAAUUGCAAAUCCAGAGAGUUUAUUUCAUCUCAGUGAUGGAAAAAAUGGAAUGGCCCCUGCCUUUCUGCUAAUCAAGACUGCUAAUUCAUUUUUACCAAGUGUAGGGGAAAAGGAGGCUUGAGCACACAUAAAAUGUACCAUUUUUCCUCAGGUUGACUUUGAAUAGUACAGCCAUUUCAUUCUUCCCAGUGGAUGGGUAUUUUUCUUAGUAGGAGACCUAAAUUGAAUUUCAAUCGUUGAUGUAAUCUCUAGGCAUAAAUGUGCAAAAGGCUGUUUCUAUGAAGAAUGUAAUUUCUGAAACUAUGGAGAUUAUUUCUCACUGGCUCUACCAUCUCCUGGUUUGGAGCACAGAAUCAGGCUGAUAGUGCUGGAUCCAAGGUACUUGUUAACAUAGGAACUAAGACACGUUUACUUGAUUCCUUGGCUUUCCAUGAAAACAACAGCAAGUAAUCACCUCCAUAAUUGUUUUCUACACACUCAGAAGUUAGUCACAACUAAAAUGUUAUUGGAGAUAUAUUAUCCUGCUAAAGUUGGGGACUCAAAAACAGCCAGACCAGGAGAAGCCCCCAAACCAAAGUACCACACUCCCAAAGAAGCUCCUAAAAUAGGCGAUCCCUUGGUGGGCUGCACUUACAAGCCAAUCUUGGCGACUAGCCCAGUUUUACCCACCUCUGGCCAGGGGUGUGUGCCCUGCUCAGCAGGCCAGGGAGGUUUAGUGCCAGCAGGACUCAAAACCAAGCUUCCUGGUUAUGACAAAGGUCAUGAUUCUUGCAGAUAAGGCCUGCUGCUUUCAUGGAUAAAUACACUUCCUAUUUGUAUAACAGCACUUAAACUGAUUCAAGCCUUUUAGGAGAGUAAUCUAUAAUCUCAUGUUGCAAGAGCCUUCCCUUGACCCAGUAAUUCCACUUAAGAAAAUAAUCCUACAUUUCUGCAAAGCUCACUAAAAGUCAAUAGUUCAACUCGUAUGUACUGUAGUGAAUGCCAGUGCAUCAUAAAUCAGACAAGGUGUUGGAAAGAAUAAAACCUUUGCUUGACCUUGGGGAAUUUACAGUUGACUGGCAACUUCACAUUUAUCGUUUAUUGAAUCCUACCGUGUACCAGGUACUCCAGUAGGCAUUUUAUAUGUUUUCUCACUUAAUCAUUAUAACCUAUACAGAAAAGUAGUAUCACUCACAUCUGACGCUAAGGUGGUUGAGUAACUUGCCCUGAGUUAUAGAGCCAAGUAACACUUCUAAAAUUCAGACCCAGACCUAAAAUCUUCCAAUGUUGUCCUUUACUCAUUAAAUUUUGCUGCAUUAUAAUUUAAAACAAUAGUAACAACAAUCAACAUAUCAACAACCAUCAAAGGUAAACAAUAGAAGGAUGAAUAAAUAAAUUAAUAUUAGGUUGGAUCUGCAGUCAUUAAAAGUGAUGUCUAACUAUUACAACAUGGAAAAUGUUUAUAUAUAAUUAUAAUAAUAAAAGCAGGGUGUAAAUUAGUAUAUGCAAAAUGAUUUAAACUAUGUUUAAGCACACGCAGACACACACACACAUACAAAUUAGAAGGAAAAACACCAUUUUUUUUUUUCUUUUUUCUUUAUUUGGCUGCAUCUGUGGCAUGCGGAAGUUCCCAGGCCAGGGAUCAAACACUCACCACGGCAGUGACCCAAGCCACUGCAAUGGCAAUGCCAGAUCUUUAACCUGUUGAGCCAAAAGAGAAUUCCAAAAUAUCCAUUUUUUUAAGGAGUUCCUGUCGUGGCUCAGCGGUAGCAAACCUGACUAGUGUCCAUGAGGACAUGGGUUUGGUCCCUGGCCACGCUCAGUAGGUUAAGGAUCCAGCAUUGCCAUGAGCUCUGGUGUAGGUCACAGACAUGGCUCAGAUCCAUCUUGCUGUGGCUGUGGUGUAGGCCAGCAGCUGUGGCUUGCAUUCAGUCCCUAGCCUGGGAACUUCUAUAUGC